This 465-nucleotide ribosomal RNA is filed under the name uncultured bacterium. RNAcentral describes it as "partial 16S ribosomal RNA". It matches the Rfam family "Bacterial small subunit ribosomal RNA", at positions 28 to 507 of the family's 1533-position model. The record is from RNAcentral.
GACGAACGCUGGCGGCGUGCUUAACACAUGCAAGUCGAACGGAAAGGCCCUGCUUGCAGGGUACUCGAGUGGCGAACGGGUGAGUAACACGUGGGUGAUCUGCCCUGCACUUCGGGAUAAGCCUGGGAAACUGGGUCUAAUACCGGAUAGGAGCCAUUUUUAGUGUGAUGGUUGGAGAGUUUUUUCGGUGUAGGACGAGCUGGCGGCCUAUCAGCUUGUUGGUGGGGUAAUGGCCUACCAAGGCGGCGACGGGUAGCCGGCCUGAGAGGGUGGACGGCCACACUGGGACUGAGAGACGGCCCAGACUCCUACGGUAGGCAGCAGUGGGGAAGAUUGCACAAGGGGCGCAAGCCGGAUGCAGCGAGGCCGCGUGGGGGAUGACGGCCUUCGGGUUGUAAAAUCCUUUCGCUAGGGACGAAGCUUUUUGUGACGGUACCUAGAUAAGAAGCACCGGCUAACUACGUG